AAUACAACAACAACAACAAACCCAGUGUAUUCCCACUUAGUGGGGUCUGGGGGGGGUAAGAUGUACGCAGUCCAUACCUCUACCUCUGAUGAAGUAGAAAGGCUGUUUCCGAAAGACCCCCGGCUCAAGGCACAAGAUAUCACACAAACACAUAGUAAAGCACAGAAGCAGAUGACAUAACAUAAAUACGGCACCCAUAAGGAAUAUAAAACAGCGGAAAGCAGAGGAAAGCACACAGAUUCGUAAUAAGCAUGGGACACUGAAUACGGAAUCAUAACGGGAAUAAAAAAUAAAAAAACCCCACCAAGUAAUUCCCUACACUAGCGACCCAAUCUGGCCCUACUCUUCUGCCGUAAUUCGCGUCUUCCAGACCUUCCUAUCUAGGGUCAU
Molecule: long non-coding RNA, 390 nt
Filed under: Capsicum annuum
Lineage: Eukaryota; Viridiplantae; Streptophyta; Magnoliopsida; Solanales; Solanaceae
Description: long non-coding RNA (CANN_LNC013375)
Source: RNAcentral